Molecule: ribosomal RNA, 441 nt
Filed under: Triticum aestivum (bread wheat)
Lineage: Eukaryota; Viridiplantae; Streptophyta; Magnoliopsida; Poales; Poaceae
Description: partial small subunit ribosomal RNA
Source: RNAcentral
AUGACACCAAUGAUGCAGGUUUGCAUUGUUGCAAGAGGAUAUUCUUUUAUGGGUUCAACCGUUGUUGUAGAGAUGGCUGAAAGGACGGUCUUUGUUGCUGGGGGAAUGAUCGUUGCGGUUGUUGGGGCUGCGGGAAUUGUUGUUGGGGCUGGGGAAAAGGUUGUUGUGGUUGCUGGAACUGGGGAAAUGGUUGUUGUGGUUGUUGAGUCUGGGGGAAUGGUUGUUGUGGUUGCUGGGGAAAUGGUUGUUGUGGUUGUUGGGGGAAUGCUUGUUGGGGCUGGAGAAAUGGUUGUUGUGGUUGCUGAGGCUGGGGAACUUGUUGUUGUGGUUGAUGGGGGAAUGUUUGUUGGGGUUGGGGAAAUGCUUGUUGUGGUUGCUAGGAUAAUGGCUCUUGGGGCUGGGGGACUAGUUGUUGUUGUGACCAUUGUAUUUGGCCGCUAG